Molecule: small nuclear RNA, 80 nt
Filed under: Alligator mississippiensis (American alligator)
Lineage: Eukaryota; Metazoa; Chordata; Crocodylia; Alligatoridae
Description: U4 spliceosomal RNA
Rfam family: U4 spliceosomal RNA
About the family: U4 small nuclear RNA (U4 snRNA) is a component of the major U2-dependent spliceosome. The structure of U4 snRNA from yeast and human has been reported. U4 snRNA presents a k-turn RNA motif in the 5p-SL related to recognition of Snu13 protein.
Source: Rfam by way of RNAcentral
AGCUUAAUAGCAGUGGCAGUAUCGUAGCCAAUGAGGUUAAUCCGAGGCGCGAUUAUUGCUAAUUGAAAACCUCUAUAACA